This 150-nucleotide ribosomal RNA is filed under the name Roccella montagnei. RNAcentral's name for it is "5.8S ribosomal RNA". It matches the Rfam family "5.8S ribosomal RNA". Rfam says of the family: 5.8S ribosomal RNA (5.8S rRNA) is a component of the large subunit of the eukaryotic ribosome. It is transcribed by RNA polymerase I as part of the 45S precursor that also contains 18S and 28S rRNA. Lineage: Eukaryota; Fungi; Ascomycota; Arthoniomycetes; Arthoniales; Roccellaceae. The record is from RNAcentral.
AAAACUUUCAACAACGGAUCUCUUGGUUCUGGCAUCGAUGAAGAACGCAGCGAAAUGCGAUAAGUAAUGUGAAUUGCAGAAUUCAGCGAAUCAUCGAAUCUUUGAACGCAUCUUGCGCCCUCCGGUGGGCAUGCCUGUUCGAGCGUCAUU